RNAcentral lists this long non-coding RNA (228 nucleotides) under Trifolium pratense (red clover). Its description in RNAcentral is "long non-coding RNA (TPRA_LNC011420)". The record is from RNAcentral. Lineage: Eukaryota; Viridiplantae; Streptophyta; Magnoliopsida; Fabales; Fabaceae.
CGCUAAUUUUACCAAACACUACAAAUUCAAUCAGCUAGUUUAUUUGCUAUAAGCAAAAAGCUAGCUUAUAAGCUAUCCGCUAUUUUUACCAAACAGAUCAGUCCUCGACUUUGUAUGUGGUUAAAUAUAGGGACCAACUUGACAAUUAAAUAGAGUCGAGGACCAUUUUGAAAUAUUCAUAAAAGUCGUGCAUCUAUUUGAGAGUGUUUAGCAUUGUUUAUAGCAGUC